Molecule: ribosomal RNA, 806 nt
Filed under: uncultured organism
Description: bacterial SSU rRNA
Rfam family: Bacterial small subunit ribosomal RNA
Source: RNAcentral
UCAGGAUGAACGCUGGCGGCGUGCCUAAUACAUGCAAGUCGAGCGAUGAGGCUCCUUCGGGAGUACAUCAGCGGCGAACGGGUGAGUAACACGUAGGUGACUUGCCCCGAAGAUGGGGAUAACCUCUGGAAACGGGGGCUAAUACCCAAUGUGCUCGGUGAUUCGGUUGAUCGAGUAAAGCUCCGGCGCUUCGGGAGAGGCCUGCGGCCCAUCAGCUAGUUGGUAGGGUAACGGCCUACCAAGGCAGAGACGGGUAGGGGGCGUGAGAGCGCGGACCCCCACACUGGCACUGCGACACGGGCCAGACUCCUACGGGAGGCAGCAGUAAGGAAUAUUGCGCAAUGGACGAAAGUCAGACGCAGCGACGCCGCGUGGGCGAUGAAGGCCUUCGGGUUGUAAAGCCCUUUUAUGGGGGAAGAGAAAAAGGACGGUACCCCAUGAAUAAGUCCCGGCUAACUACGUGCCAGCAGCCGCGGUAAAACGUAGGGGACAAGCGUUAUCCGGAUUCACUGGGCGUAAAGAGCGUUGAGGCGGUUCCGUAAGUUGGGCGUGAAAGCUCCGGGCUUAACCCGGAGAUGUCGUUCAAUACUGCGGGGCUUGAGGACAGCAGAGGAAGGUGGAAUUCCCGGUGUAGUGGUGAAAUGCGUAGAUAUCGGGAGGAACACCCGUGGCGAAGGCGGCCUUCUGGGCUGUUCCUGACGCUGAAGGCGAAAGCUAGGGGAGCGAACGGGAUUAGAUACCCCGGUAGUCCUAGCUGUAAACGAUGGAUGCUGGGUGUGGGGGGUGUAAAUUCCCUCUGUGCCGAA